RNAcentral lists this transfer RNA (68 nucleotides) under Marmota monax (woodchuck). RNAcentral describes it as "tRNA.Ala". Lineage: Eukaryota; Metazoa; Chordata; Mammalia; Rodentia; Sciuridae. The record is from RNAcentral.
GGAUUGUGGCUCAGUGGUAGAGUGCUCACCUAGCAUGUGCAAGGCCCUGGGUUCGAUCUGCAGCACCA